Molecule: ribosomal RNA, 250 nt
Filed under: uncultured prokaryote
Description: partial 16S ribosomal RNA
Rfam family: Bacterial small subunit ribosomal RNA
Source: RNAcentral
UACGUAGGGAGCGAGCGUUAUCCGGAUUUAUUGGGUGUAAAGGGUGCGUAGACGGGUUAAUAAGUUAGUUGUGAAAUCCCUUGGCUUAACUGAGGAACUGCAACUAAAACUGUUAAUCUUGAGUACUGGAGAGGAAAGCGGAAUUCCUAGUGUAGCGGUGAAAUGCGUAGAUAUUAGGAGGAACACCAGUGGCGAAGGCGGCUUUCUGGACAGAAACUGACGUUGAGGCACGAAAGUGUGGGGAGCAAAC